RNAcentral lists this ribosomal RNA (253 nucleotides) under uncultured bacterium. RNAcentral's name for it is "partial 16S ribosomal RNA". It matches the Rfam family "Bacterial small subunit ribosomal RNA", at positions 524 to 776 of the family's 1533-position model. The record is from RNAcentral.
UACGUAGGCAGCGAGCGUUGUUCGGAGUUACUGGGCGUAAAGAGUGCGUAGGCGGUUUUCUAAGUUUGGUGUGAAAUCUCCCGGCUUAACUGGGAGGGUGCGCCGAAGACUGGAAGGCUUGAGUAUGGGAGAGGUAAGCGGAAUUCCUGGUGUAGCGGUGAAAUGCGUAGAUAUCAGGAGGAACACCUGCGGUGUAGACGGCUUACUGGACCAUAACUGACGCUGAGGCGCGACAGCGUGGGGAGCAAACAGG